RNAcentral lists this ribosomal RNA (433 nucleotides) under uncultured bacterium. RNAcentral describes it as "partial 16S ribosomal RNA". It matches the Rfam family "Bacterial small subunit ribosomal RNA", at positions 29 to 506 of the family's 1533-position model. The record is from RNAcentral.
AGCGAACGUUGGCGGCAGGCCUAACACAUGCAAGUCGAACGAACCUUUCGGGGUUAGUGGCGGACGGGUGAGUAACACGUGGGAACGUGCCUUUAGGUUCGGAAUAACUCAGGGAAACUUGUGCUAAUACCGAAUGUGCCCUUCGGGGGAAAGAUUAAUCGCCUUUAGAGCGGCCCGCGUCUGAUUAGCUAGUUGGUUGAGGUAAUGGCUCACCAAGGCGACGAUCAGUAGCUGGUCUGAGAGGAUGAUCAGCCACAUUGGGACUGAGACACGGCCCAAACUCCUACGGGAGGCAGCAGUGGGGAAUCUUGCGCAAUGGGCGAAAGCCUGACGCAGCCAUGCCGCGUGAAUGAUGAAGGUCUUAGGAUUGUAAAAUUCUUUCACCGGGGACGAUAAUGACGGUACCCGGAGAAGAAGCCCCGGCUAACUUCGU